This 334-nucleotide long non-coding RNA is filed under the name Nicotiana benthamiana. RNAcentral's name for it is "long non-coding RNA (NBEN_LNC001918)". Lineage: Eukaryota; Viridiplantae; Streptophyta; Magnoliopsida; Solanales; Solanaceae. The record is from RNAcentral.
UGCAAAAGAGCCUGUGCAUGUCACUUUCACUUUAUAACCAUUAGGAAGAGUGACAAGAUAUGACAGAGUUAAAGGUGUGAUGUUAAAAAGUAAUUGUUUAUUAUGUGUCAUGUGAUUAGAGGCACCCGAAUCUAUAAUCCAGGUGACAGAAUUAAUAUGAGUAAGCAAGCAAAGUUUGGAAUCAAAAAUAGGGUUCUCAGUUAACAUAGUACCAGCAAAGUUUAAAGCAUAUAUGGGAGGAGGAGUUUGAGCAGUGGAUUCCCCUAACUUAGUCUGGUGUAACAAGUUCAUCAACUGGUCAUAAUCUUGUCUGCUCAACCCUGGUAUCACAGAG